Molecule: long non-coding RNA, 485 nt
Organism: Suricata suricatta (meerkat)
Lineage: Eukaryota; Metazoa; Chordata; Mammalia; Carnivora; Herpestidae
Exons: 4
Source: RefSeq, a predicted model, not a curated record
AAGAGAGAUAACAGUUAAUUCACUAUGCUGGGACUCUGAAAAGAGAGAGCAAGGCCUGUGUAAAAUCAUCAAGGCUCUGGGACUGGGGAUCUGGGAAUUUGGCGAAUGCGGUGGCUAUUGGUCAGUGAAGCCGAGACAUGGGCAGCCAGUCAGACUGAUUGUAACAGAUGACCCAGAGGCUGAAAGUAAAGUGACCUGACCAAGGCUACAGAUAGUGGCAUCACAGAUACUAGGUCCUGGGUCUCCUGACCACAUUGCUUGGACAUGCUAACAAGUCAGCUGAUACUCUUACAGCACCAUACACCAUCACAGCUGCUCGUUGGAGUCAUUGCUGCAGCCAACACACAAUCCAUGAGCCUGUUUCCGCCUGCCCCGGGAACCUUAAGGAUUUUGAAAACCUUUUGUUGGGGUAGGAAAGGGAGGGGGGUUUGGAGAGGGUGGUUCUCUGUGUAAAACACGUGGGGUUUCAACACUGCUAUAAAUAU